CACGUAGGGGGCGAGCGUUGUCCGGAUUUAUUGGGCGUAAAGAGCUCGUAGGCGGCUCAGUAAGUCAGGUGUGAAAACUCCAGGCUCAACCUGGAGACGCCACCUGAUACUGCUGUGGCUAGAGUCCGGUAGGGGAGCAUGGAAUUCCUGGUGUAGCGGUGAAAUGCGCAGAUAUCAGGAAGAACACCCGUGGCGAAGGCGGCUCUCUGGGACGGUACUGACGCUGAGACGCGAAAAGCGUGGGGAGCGAACAGG
RNAcentral lists this ribosomal RNA (255 nucleotides) under uncultured bacterium. RNAcentral's name for it is "partial 16S ribosomal RNA". It matches the Rfam family "Bacterial small subunit ribosomal RNA", at positions 524 to 776 of the family's 1533-position model. The record is from RNAcentral.